GAUGAACGCUGGCGGCGUGCCUAAUACAUGCAAGUCGAGCGAACGGACGAGAAGCUUGCUUCUCUGAUGUUAGCGGCGGACGGGUGAGUAACACGUGGAUAACCUACCUAUAAGACUGGGAUAACUUCGGGAAACCGGAGCUAAUACCGGAUAAUAUUUUGAACCGCAUGGUUCAAAAGUGAAAGACGGUCUUGCUGUCACUUAUAGAUGGAUCCGCGCUGCAUUAGCUAGUUGGUAAGGUAACGGCUUACCAAGGCAACGAUGCAUAGCCGACCUGAGAGGGUGAUCGGCCACACUGGAACUGAAACACGGUCCCGACUCCUAAGGGAGGGAGCAGUAGGGAAUCCUCCGCAAUGGGCGAAAGCCUGACGGAGCAACGCCGCGUGAGUGAUUAAGGUCUUCGGAUCGUAAAACUCUGUUAUUAGGGAAGAACAUAUGUGUAAGGAACUGUGCACAUCUUGACGGUACCUAAUCAGAAAGCCACGGCUAACUACGUG
This 497-nucleotide ribosomal RNA is filed under the name uncultured bacterium. Its description in RNAcentral is "partial 16S ribosomal RNA". It matches the Rfam family "Bacterial small subunit ribosomal RNA", at positions 28 to 507 of the family's 1533-position model. The record is from RNAcentral.